CCCUGGGAGGCCCUGGCCUCACUCCAUGUGGGCUGGGCAGUGCAGUGCCCUGCCCUCUAGGAUGGAGGCAGAGAGCAAACUGCAACUCUAAAAGCCAUGCAAAUUUCAUUUUUCACCCAGCUUACAAAUGCUGUUGACUUGAGCCCACACACCACUUGAGGACAGAAGAGAAAUAUCACAUCAGUUUAUAAGUGCAGAAAUGUAGGAUGAGCUGAUUUAACUCAUGCCCUUCAAGAAGAACAAAGAACCCAGGUCUUGUUCUUGUGCCUUGACCAUGAGACUAACUGCUCCUUAUUUUCGAGAUAAAUUCGACGAACUCAAGUACGUCAAUCCAGGUUGGGAUAAGGACCAAGAAUAAGAUGAGGAGAGUGCCCUGUGAAAUUUGGAGGAAAAUCUCAGUCCUUCUCCAAAUAACUCCCCUGCCUGAACAGUGGAGAUUGCUGCCCAGUCUGCGGAGUCCAAACCACCAGUUAGUCUGAGGUUAUGUAAAGCGCUUCUGCUGGAAGAGCUCUCAAUAGGAAACAACUUCAUUCUUCUCAAAGAGAGGUGAUGUUUUGUCAUCUCUGGAAUGUCUUGGGGUUAAGCUGAAAAUGCAGAUUCAUAACCAAGUGGUCUCACUGGCUUCCUCUUUGUGAGAACUUCUGGACUCAUCUCUAAACUACAGGAUGCUUGAUGAAGUGAAGUUCCUCACAUUAAUGCAACAAAGAAGAACUUUAUAAUGGAUAAAAGUUUCUGCAGUGCAUCUUCAAGCAGGAAAUCUGAGAUUCAGAACAACUUAUAUUUUGGCUUGUAUUCGCUGAUCAUGGGGUGAUCCAGAAAUAAACUCCAGGCUUCAAAGCGAGAGAGUUUCAAAGCUGUCCUGCAGUUGAUCGAAACAUCCAGACAAGGCAGGGAGAUGAAUACCAACGAGGAUUUUCUGAAUUAAGACUAUAUCAAGAAGAUAAUUCAUUUCAAUAAUAUCGUAACUCUUUCAUUUGAGAACUAAAAG
This is a long non-coding RNA of Centrocercus urophasianus (Greater sage-grouse), 988 nucleotides long. RefSeq lists it as uncharacterized. The transcript is spliced from 5 exons. NCBI's taxonomy places the organism in Eukaryota, Metazoa, Chordata, Aves, Galliformes, Phasianidae. The record is from RefSeq and is a predicted model, not a curated record.